Molecule: long non-coding RNA, 1340 nt
Filed under: Rhinolophus ferrumequinum (greater horseshoe bat)
Lineage: Eukaryota; Metazoa; Chordata; Mammalia; Chiroptera; Rhinolophidae
Description: lncRNA (ENSRFEG00010015826.1)
Source: RNAcentral
GUUCAGUUGAGCAAAAAGUUCAAAAUGGCCCAGAUUGUAGGGGCUCAGAAAAUGACAGAGGGUCUUAGGAAAUGAGACGGGCCUAAAAUAUACUUAACUGCCUACUAUCAGGAGCAUAGGAACAUUUAUGGAAAGUCCAGAUUUGCACUGCUAUGAAAAAGUCCAUGAAUUCUCUUAAUCAAAUGAUAAGCAGAAAAGAUAAAGGUCCUCGUACGUGUGGGUGGCACUACUGCCAGUUUGGUGGUCUGACGGGUUUUUUGGAAAAUGUUACCAUUUGUAAAAUGGGUUUAAAAUAAUAUUUUGACAAGUGAUUUCAUGUCUGCAAAAGGUAUUAAUUAUUUUGGAAUUUCCUCCAGUGUUUAGAUGCUUUGUGUUUUGAACACACUGAUUGAUUAAUCUACAGCUGCUUCUGGGUGCUCAGCAAUUUUCACGGGUCUUGUUGCUAUGAGACGAGGACUUCUCUGAAAUCGCCAAUGUGACAGGCAUCAUGAAGAGGCGGUGAGUUCUGCCUGUUAGCCACAGUGCCACCAAGCGGUCAUUCUUCAAAACAGUUCGACAAAGUCGAUUUGCGUUUCCACUGUUCUCUAAUUACAGCACGGUCAGGUCGUCUCUCAGAUAAAUUAUUAGCAGGUUAACUGAACAGUGGGGUAUUGUUUACUCUCUUCAUAUUCUUCUGCACACAGUGAGGAUUUUUUCCUCCAAUGAAUGAAUCAUGCCAUGGCAAGCAGGAUGGAAAAAAGAAUGGUGGACUGGUUGGCAGAAGCAAAACUGCAGGUGAAACGCAAACUCUCGCCUCCAGCUCACGUGCUGCGAAGCCUCCUUUCAUCACUGCCUCCAGCUCCUUUACCCCAGUGAGUGUGUCUGCUGAUUUCUCCAGCCGACCAUUUGGAAGCAGAGGGUCUCAAUGCUCAGAAAUGGGCCAAGGAAACCCGGGGAGUUCCGGAGUCUAGGUCUCCCCUGAUGAUGGCAUGACUUUCUGACUCUGCCUAAAAUUGCUGCAGCUCUGUUUAUUCAGUCAGUAAACCAAGAAACUGUUCUGGGUACUAAGGAAACAAAGAUAAGUAAGGCCCUUAAAAGGGUAAAUGUAUAAAUAAACUGCCGUAUUAUAAUUAAAUUCCGGAAUAAUUAUAAUUAACUGCUAAAAAGAGACGAGCAGCUAAGUGCCAGAGAAAAAUAGGGACCCAGUCGUGCGUAGGAUUGGAGGAAGAAAAGGAGGUGAGGUUAGAACUGCGGAUUUGGAGGGUGAUAGGACUUCUUCAGGAAGACCAAGGCGUAAAAAAAAAAAAAAAAAAAAAAAUCCAAGGGGGAGAGAGCAUAUGGAAUGAAUUUGGAGGUCAUCU